Non-coding RNA from Maylandia zebra (zebra mbuna), 203 nucleotides. NCBI's taxonomy places the organism in Eukaryota, Metazoa, Chordata, Actinopteri, Cichliformes, Cichlidae. The record is from RefSeq and is a predicted model, not a curated record.
GUUGUGUGAAGGUAAAUUUGAGAAUCUGCCGAGCUGGUCUGUGGCGUACUGGAGACAGUGGUUUAUUUUACAGAAACACAGAGAGAUCCUUGAGCUAACUUGUUGAAGCAGACAUGGAGAGCGACUCUGAAACACACAGUGGUGAAGAUACUACUCCAGAUGACUGCUGACUGACUGUGAAAAACUUACACAGUCCUGCUGCC